UGGAUCACCUCCUAACAGGGAGACAACACAAUGUUAAAUAUUAAUUUUGUCACCUUAGGUCGAUCGGUAUCUCACAUUCUUAAUUCAUUAAGGAUUUCAUUUCCUAAGUUUUUUCUAGGGCACACCCAUUACUUUUUCCUGGGCCAUUAGCUCAGGGGGUUAGAGCGCACCCCUGAUAAGGGUGAGGUCCCUGGUUCAAGUCCAGGAUGGCCCAUAUCUCUAUGUUGGGGGUAUAGCUCAGUUGGUAGAGCGCCUGCUUUGCAAGCAGGAUGUCAGCGGUUCGAGUCCGCUUACCUCCACUGAUCACCACCUCUUCCAUAAUUUAUAGAAGGGAAAUGUAUUGAGUUGUGAUCAAAUUCUGAACGAAUCUAGCUUCCUAAUUAUCUUUAUUAAGAUGCUGGACUCAUUGAAUUAAUUUCAUUGUUUUCAGAGAACCUUGACAACUGCAUAGAUUAUUUUUAAAGACAAUAAGCAUCUUUAAUGAUGCAGAUUUAUUAUUUGUGCGAAUGCAUUAAUAACAAUUCUAUUAAGCUGAUGCUUCAAUUUUUGAAGUUAUUGGUCAAGCUACAAAGGGCUCACGGAGGAUACCUAGGCACACAGAGGCGAUGAAGG
RNAcentral lists this transfer RNA (612 nucleotides) under uncultured Prochlorococcus sp. RNAcentral describes it as "partial contains 16S ribosomal RNA, 16S-23S ribosomal RNA intergenic spacer, and 23S ribosomal RNA". The stretch from base 227 to 299 matches the Rfam family "tRNA". Lineage: Bacteria; Bacillati; Cyanobacteriota; Cyanophyceae; Synechococcales; Prochlorococcaceae. The record is from RNAcentral.